GUCUGGCUGGCUCAGCUGGUAGAGCAUGUGACUCUUGAUCUCAGGGUUGUGAGUUUGAGCCUCAUGUUGGGUG
RNAcentral lists this transfer RNA (73 nucleotides) under Felis catus (domestic cat). It matches the Rfam family "tRNA". Rfam says of the family: Transfer RNA (tRNA) molecules are approximately 80 nucleotides in length. Lineage: Eukaryota; Metazoa; Chordata; Mammalia; Carnivora; Felidae. RNAcentral also lists the same sequence under 3 other names. The record is from Rfam by way of RNAcentral.